RNAcentral lists this transfer RNA (72 nucleotides) under Sphingobacteriales bacterium. RNAcentral describes it as "tRNA-Thr". It matches the Rfam family "tRNA". Rfam says of the family: Transfer RNA (tRNA) molecules are approximately 80 nucleotides in length. Their secondary structure includes four short double-helical elements and three loops (D, anti-codon, and T loops). The record is from RNAcentral. Lineage: Bacteria; Pseudomonadati; Bacteroidota; Sphingobacteriia; Sphingobacteriales.
GCCACUGUAGCUCAGAGGUAGAGCACUUCCUUGGUAAGGAAGAGGUCAGGGGUUCAAUUCCCCUCAGCGGCU